CCCGACAGUAUGCCGAGCCCUGCCACUGUUACGGGAACCAAUCGCUUUCCAGCUGGCAGGGACGGGGGAACCAAGUUUCCGCGGCCUUUUUAAGGCCUUGGGGUUAAGUCGAUAGCGCCUCCGUCCAUAACGGGGGUUGCCACCGGCCGGGUAUCUCCAACCCGAACCCGACAGCUCACCCCGCAGGCAUGGGAGAGGCGAUCA
This 204-nucleotide small RNA is filed under the name Pseudarthrobacter phenanthrenivorans. RNAcentral describes it as "c-di-AMP sequence". It matches the Rfam family "c-di-AMP riboswitch aptamer (ydaO/yuaA leader)". From Rfam's summary of the family: This family represents a conserved RNA structure found upstream of the ydaO and yuaA genes in Bacillus subtilis and related genes in other bacteria. Lineage: Bacteria; Bacillati; Actinomycetota; Actinomycetes; Micrococcales; Micrococcaceae. The record is from RNAcentral.